RNAcentral lists this non-coding RNA (285 nucleotides) under Otolemur garnettii (small-eared galago). Lineage: Eukaryota; Metazoa; Chordata; Mammalia; Primates; Galagidae. The record is from RNAcentral.
GCCCGGAGGGGAGGCAGGAGCUUGUGGUCCCAACUACUAGGGAGGCUGAGGCAGGAGGAUCACUUGAGCCCAGGAAUUCUGGGCGGUCACAUGCAAUGCCCACCAGGUAUCCCUACUAAGUUCAGCAUCGAGGUGGUGACCUCCAGGAGUGGGGACAACCAUGUUGCCUAAGCAAGUGUGAACAGGCAUGGGUAAGACAUGGAGCAGGUCAAAACCCCACUGCUGACCAGUGGUGGGAUCACCCACAAAUGUCCAUUGCACGCCAGGCAGAGAGAGACCUCAACU